Molecule: transfer RNA, 72 nt
Filed under: Marmota monax (woodchuck)
Lineage: Eukaryota; Metazoa; Chordata; Mammalia; Rodentia; Sciuridae
Description: tRNA.Ala
Source: RNAcentral
UGAGGAUGUAGCUUAGUGGUAGAGCCUUUGCCUUGCGUGUGCAAGGCCCUGGGUUCAAUAUCCAGCACUGAA